GAGUUUGAUCCUGGCUCAGAUUGAACGCUGGCGGCAUGCCUUACACAUGCAAGUCGAACGGCAGCACGGGAGCUUGCUCCUGGUGGCGAGUGGCGAACGGGUGAGUAAUGCAUCGGAACGUAUCCUGGAGUGGGGGAUAACGUAGCGAAAGUUACGCUAAUACCGCAUAUUCUGUGGGCAGGAAAGCGGGGGACCUUCGGGCCUCGCGCUCUUGGAGCGGCCGAUGUCGGAUUAGCUAGUUGGUGAGGUAAAGGCUCACCAAGGCGACGAUCCGUAGCAGGUCUGAGAGGAUGAUCUGCCACACUGGAACUGAGACACGGUCCAGACUCCUACGGGAGGCAGCAGUGGGGAAUUUUGGACAAUGGGGGCAACCCUGAUCCAGCCAUGCCGCGUGAGUGAAGAAGGCCUUCGGUUGGUAAGUACGUAC
RNAcentral lists this ribosomal RNA (427 nucleotides) under bacterium enrichment culture clone ALO1_GLFRUDD03FMNTU. RNAcentral's name for it is "bacterial SSU rRNA". It matches the Rfam family "Bacterial small subunit ribosomal RNA", at positions 9 to 437 of the family's 1533-position model. The record is from RNAcentral.